Molecule: transfer RNA, 84 nt
Filed under: bacterium
Lineage: Bacteria
Description: tRNA-Ser
Rfam family: tRNA
About the family: Transfer RNA (tRNA) molecules are approximately 80 nucleotides in length.
Source: RNAcentral
GGAGAGGUCGGAUAACGGUUAUUCCAGCAGGUUGCUAACCUGCGCCGCGCAAGCGGCCUGUGGGUUCGAUUCCCACCCUCUCCG